AAGGUGUGUCGUGAGGCAUGCUGGAGGUAUCAGAAGUGCGAAUGCUGACAUAAGUAACGAUAAAGCGGGUGAAAAGCCCGCUCGCCGGAAGACCAAGGGUUCCUGUCCAACGUUAAUCGGGGCAGGGUGAGUCGACCCCUAAGGCGAGGCCGAAAGGCGUAGUCGAUGGGAAACGGGUUAAUAUUCCCGUACUUGGUGUUACUGCGAAGGGGGGACGGAGAAGGCUAUGUUGGCCGGGCGACGGUUGUCCCGGUUUAAGCGUGUAGGUGUGUGUUCCAGGUAAAUCCGGUUCACUUUAACACUGAGGCGUGACGACGAGGCACUACGGUGCUGAAGCAACAAAUGCCCUGCUUCCAGGAAAAGCCUCUAAGCAUCAGGUAACAUCAAAUCGUACCCCAAACCGACACAGGUGGUCAGGUAGAGAAUACCAAGGCGCUUGAGAGAACUCGGGUGAAGGAACUAGGCAAAAUGGUGCCGUAACUUCGGGAGAAGGCACGCUGACACGUAGGUGAAGUGAUUUACUCAUGGAGCUGAAGUCAGUCGAAGAUACCAGCUGGCUGCAACUGUUUAUUAAAAACACAGCACUGUGCAAACACGAAAGUGGACGUAUACGGUGUGACGCCUGCCCGGUGCCGGAAGGUUAAUUGAUGGGGUCAGCGCAAGCGAAGCUCCUGAUCGAAGCCCCGGUAAACGGCGGCCGUAACUAUAACGGUCCUAAGGUAGCGAAAUUCCUUGUCGGGUAAGUUCCGACCUGCACGAAUGGCGUAAUGAUGGCCAGGCUGUCUCCACCCGAGACUCAGUGAAAUUGAACUCGCUGUGAAGAUGCAGUGUACCCGCGGCAAGACGGAAAGACCCCGUGAACCUUUACUAUAGCUUGACACUGAACAUUGAGCCUUGAUGUGUAGGAUAGGUGGGAGGCUUUGAAGUGUGGACGCCAGUCUGCAUGGAGCCGACCUUGAAAUACCACCCUUUAAUGUUUGAUGUUCUAACGUGGACCCGUUACCCGGGUUGCGGACAGUGUCUGGUGGGUAGUUUGACUGGGGCGGUCUCCUCCUAAAGAGUAACGGAGGAGCACGAAGGUUGGCUAAUCCUGGUCGGACAUCAGGAGGUUAGUGCAAUGGCAUAAGCCAGCUUGACUGCGAGCGUGACGGCGCGAGCAGGUGCGAAAGCAGGUCAUAGUGAUCCGGUGGUUCUGAAUGGAAGGGCCAUCGCUCAACGGAUAAAAGGUACUCCGGGGAUAACAGGCUGAUACCGCCCAAGAGUUCAUAUCGACGGCGGUGUUUGGCACCUCGAUGUCGGCUCAUCACAUCCUGGGGCUGAAGUAGGUCCCAAGGGUAUGGCUGUUCGCCAUUUAAAGUGGUACGCGAGCUGGGUUUAGAACGUCGUGAGACAGUUCGGUCCCUAUCUGCCGUGGGCGCUGGAGAACUGAGGGGGGCUGCUCCUAGUACGAGAGGACCGGAGUGGACGCAUCACUGGUGUUCGGGUUGUCAUGCCAAUGGCACUGCCCGGUAGCUAAAUGCGGAAGAGAUAAGUGCUGAAAGCAUCUAAGCACGAAACUUGCCCCGA
Molecule: ribosomal RNA, 1566 nt
Filed under: Salmonella enterica subsp. enterica serovar Enteritidis
Lineage: Bacteria; Pseudomonadati; Pseudomonadota; Gammaproteobacteria; Enterobacterales; Enterobacteriaceae
Description: partial 23S ribosomal RNA
Rfam family: Bacterial large subunit ribosomal RNA
Source: RNAcentral